Molecule: non-coding RNA, 266 nt
Filed under: Oceanobacillus oncorhynchi
Lineage: Bacteria; Bacillati; Bacillota; Bacilli; Caryophanales; Bacillaceae
Source: RNAcentral
CGUUAUGGAAGGACUAGUAAGUAAGCCGUCACAAUGACAGAGAUGGAAUCAGAGGAUAGAAGCAAAUUUUAAUUGCAUUUGUCCAAUGCUGUGAGAUUCCUCAUUGUUGAUUUACUGAACCUGCCUUUAUCAGUCUUAUGCAAAACAUAAGCGUCUUCCGAACGUUAUCUCGGAAUAAGUGAAAUACGGUUGUCCAGGCGGGCGCAGUUAAAGAAUCGUAUUUAAGUUGUGGUGGUACCGCGGAAGUAAACUCUUUCGUCCCUUCU